GAAAUACAUUGGUGUACCCUAUGC
Molecule: non-coding RNA, 24 nt
Filed under: Arabidopsis thaliana (thale cress)
Lineage: Eukaryota; Viridiplantae; Streptophyta; Magnoliopsida; Brassicales; Brassicaceae
Source: RNAcentral